This 496-nucleotide ribosomal RNA is filed under the name uncultured bacterium. Its description in RNAcentral is "partial 16S ribosomal RNA". It matches the Rfam family "Bacterial small subunit ribosomal RNA", at positions 28 to 523 of the family's 1533-position model. The record is from RNAcentral.
GAUGAACGCUAGCGGCAGGCUUAACACAUGCAAGUCGAGGGGUAGAGGUUGCUUGCAACCUUGAGACCGCCGCACGGGUGCGUAACGCGUAUGCUACCUACCUUUUACAGAGGGAUAGCCCAGAGAAAUUUGGAUCAAUACCUCAUAGUAUAUAACCUUCGCAUGUUGGUUAUAUUAAAGUUCCAACGGUAAAAGAUGGGCAUGCGUCCUAUUAGCUAGAUGGUAAGGUAACGGCUUACCAUGGCAACGAUAGGUAGGGGUCCUGAGAGGGAGAUCCCCCACACUGGAACUGAGACACGGACCAGACUCCUACGGGGUGCAGCAGUGAGGAAUAUUGGACAAUGGGCGCAAGCAUGAUCCAGCCAUGCCGCGUGCAGGAAGAAGCAACUAUGGUGUGUAAACUGCUUUUGUACAGGAAGAAACACCCCGACGUGUCGGGGCUUGACGGUACUGUAAGAAUAAGGAUCGGCUAACUCCGUGCCAGCAGCCGCCGUAA